GAUGAACGCUGGCGGCGUGCCUAAUACAUGCAAGUCGAGCGAACAGACGAGGAGCUUGCUCCUCUGACGUUAGCGGCGGACGGGUGAGUAGCACGUGGAUAACCUACCUAUAAGACUUGGAUAACUUCGGGAAACCGGAGCUAAUACCGUAUAAUAUAUUGAACCGCAUGGUUCAAUAGUGAAAGACGGUUUUGCUGUCACUUAUAGAUGGAUCCGCGCCGCAUUAGCUAGUUGGUAAGGUAACGGCUUACCAAGGCAACGAUGCGUAGCCGACCUGAGAGGGUGAUCGGCCACACUGGAACUGAGACACGGUCCAGACUCCUACGGGAGGCAGCAGUAGGGAAUCUUCCGCAAUGGGCGAAAGCCUGACGGAGCAACGCCGCGUGAGUGAUGAAGGUCUUCGGAUCGUAAAACUCUGUUAUUAGGGAAGAACAAAUGUGUAAGUAACUAUGCACGUCUUGACGGUACCUAAUCAGAAAGCCACGGCUAACUACGUG
Molecule: ribosomal RNA, 497 nt
Filed under: uncultured bacterium
Lineage: Bacteria
Description: partial 16S ribosomal RNA
Rfam family: Bacterial small subunit ribosomal RNA
Source: RNAcentral